Molecule: long non-coding RNA, 2678 nt
Filed under: Zea mays
Lineage: Eukaryota; Viridiplantae; Streptophyta; Magnoliopsida; Poales; Poaceae
Description: long non-coding RNA (ZMAY_LNC003418)
Source: RNAcentral
GUGGCGCCACGACCUUACCACGUCAAUUAGCUGAUUAGACGGCGGUCUCCAACUCCGGCCUACAAUUCAUCGUGCAUCGGCCACCCUUCUCGCUCAACUACGCUCUGGGAACGUGCAGCACGUUACGAAGAUCGCGCUACGAUGGCGAGUUCUCCGAUGCGAUCCACUCGGUCCUUGGCAACACAACGACUAGCGGCUAGCUUAUAUAGGCCAUGGAGGGCAGAGUCCGCAUAUGCCCCCUCCAGCCAUCAGUAGCCACGGGCUAUCCUGCGCCCACCACCUGCCCUACCCCUCCCCUCCCCUCCCCUCCCUCCUGCCUUCGUCCUGCCCGAGCUGCCCGGCGCCUCUGUCCUCCUCCGGGCUCCACAGGCCUUGCCAGGCAUGGGGUUGGCCUUGUUGAAACCACCAGAUUUGUGCCUCCUAGACCCCAGUUCCUCGGCAACAAGGUAACCUCCGUGCCCCUGCUCCCUUUCCUGACUGCUGGUGAUGAGGAUGAUCCUAUCCGGUGCCUCCUCUGUGAACGCCUACUCCUGGGCCCCUGCAACUAAGAGCCUCCGCCGGAGUCGCCGCGGAGAAGCUGCUGCUCGCCGUCGCAGCCGAGGUAAACAUCCGUAACAAAAAAAUCAUUGCCAAGCCCCCCUCCCUCUUCAUUCAUUUUGUCGUUCUAGUCAGUUCUCUGAUUCGACUGCUGUAUAUUAUUUAUCUUUAAUUGGCUUUAUUUAUUUAUUUAUCCUACUGGCGCAAAGGCCUGCCUGCUUGCUUUGGGCCGUUCAGUGGGUGAGAUAUUGUUCUUUGUUUUGGACUCUUUUCGGAUGCGGAUAUGUGUUGGUGGGUUCAGGGUGUGGGUUUUCUAGCUGGGGUCCGGGAUUUCAGUUCCGCGGCGUCACAGCUGAUUCGCGACCUGACGUCCCCGCGCUCUAAAUCUUCACCCGAAAGGUGAUACACCAUGUAGGAACAGAGACAAACCUGUGCUCACCGCGACCUGACCACGUCAAUUAGGGAUCGGGCGGUGGUCUCCAACUCCGGCCCGUAAUUUGUCACACACCGACCACCCUUCUCGCUCAGCUAUGCUUCGAGAACGUGCAGCUACGAAGAUCGCACUCCCCCACUUUUCGUGGACUAAGUGCCGAUGAACAGCACCACCUCAAUCUCAAUUUAUUUCCUUUGUUCCUUAGGCAUUAAUUUGUACGAGAGAUUUCUUUUUCUGUGACAGUUUAGAGAGAAUUGAGUUCCUGACCUUAUGUUGUUUGGGCCAUUCUGAAGCGAUGGGAAAUGCUAGAUGUGAAGGCUCAAUCAGGGAUCUUGUUCCCUACCUAUAACCUGAAACACAACAUGCAAUGAACAAACUUUAUUUUUGAAAACAAUUAAGUUACCAUUUGCUGAGAUGUGUCGUGAUACUGAGAUGAGAUGUGUGUCGUGAUGCUGAGAUGAGAUGUGUAUUAGUGCUUAAAAGUGUCAGCUUUGAUCUACUCUGAUCUAAACUUGUUUCUUUAAUACUUGUGUGCCUACGAUAACAACUUUGUUUACCUCCUUUUUCUAUUUAAUUAAAAUAACGGUCUACUUUAGGUCUUUGUCCUGCAUAUGAAUUUGACUUGACCAAAACUCAGCAUGUUCAUGCUUAUAAUUAAUUGUGCUUCUUACAUAUUUCAAUUAUCAUGCUUAUUUGUUAUGUGUAAAUUGAAGUUUUGUGUUCUUGGUCUAACUAUUUUCUUAUAGUCUUGAAAAAUAACUCGUACCUUUCAUAAUGAAACUGUUGUUGAUUGGUUGAAUUUUCAGGUGGUAAUAUAUGCUGGAAGCCUAUUGCAUAACUUCAACCAUUGAUUCCGUUGAAGCUAAUGUCAUGGAAUAGAAUUCUCACCACUUUGUUGUAGCAAUACAUAAAUUUGAUGAAUGGAUUCAACUAGUGUCAUAGAAUGAUAGAAUGGACCCGAAAUCUAUAUUUUUUGUAUUGUCACAUUUUGUCUCGAUGAUCAUGGUGUUUGUCUUAGUUCUACAAAUGACUUGGGAUCUUGAUAUUUUCCUUUUUUCACCUACUACUAUGUUGCAAUUUUGUUUACCAGUGCCACCAUGCAAGUGCAGUAUAGCAACAGUGUGCUAGUAGUAUAUCUCAUUGUAAUACGGUAGCAAUGUCAACCCACGGUGCAGUCCACAAGCAGGACAAAUUAGCCAAAUAGGGGAGUUUGUAACACCCUAAAUCUGCGGUAUAAAAUUUUUUCUCUAAUAUCUACCAAAUUCAGGUGUUACUCCUUGUUUUACUCUCUAUAGAUUUCUUCUCUCUUCUUUUUAUUAGAGUUGUGUCUAGAAUUUGGGAGAUGAAUUAUUUCUUUACUAUAUCAAAACAUAUGGGGGGCAUGAAAUGUUGCAUCAUGCUGAGCCUAGAUUAUUGUUUUGUUUGAUGCACAUGUUUGGAAUGCAUGAAUUUGAAUUUGUGGCAUGUUUGAAUUUGAAUCCAAAAGAGAAUACAAAAGGAAAAGGAAUUAGGAAAUUCAGAAUAAAAGAAAAAGGCAAAUAAGCCCAGCCGCCCCCUUCCCUGGCCUUUCGGCCCACUCGACCUAGCCCCCGGGCGCGUCCGCGUCCACUCUCCGCUAGGUGGUCCCCCACCUAUCGGUGCCUCAUCCCGCCACCCACGCCCGCUCAUCUCUGUUACACCCGGUUUUGAAGCUAAACCGAAUGCGAAC